AAGACCUUGCGCUUUGGGAGCGGCCGAUGUCUGAUUAGCUAGUUGGUGGGGUAAAGGCCUACCAAGGCGACGAUCAGUAGUUGGUCUGAGAGGACGACCAGCCACACUGGGACUGAGACACGGCCCAGACUCCUACGGGAGGCAGCAGUGGGGAAUUUUGGACAAUGGGCGCAAGCCUGAUCCAGCAAUGCCGCGUGAGUGAAGAAGGCCUUCGGGUUGUAAAGCUCUUUCAGUCGAGAAGAAAAAGCUGCAGUGAAUAACUGUAGUUCAUGACGGUAUCGACAGAAGAAGCACCGGCUAACUACGUGCCAGCAGCCGCGGUAAUACGUAGGGUGCGAGCGUUAAUCGGAACUACUGGGCGUAAAGGGUGCGCAGGCGGCUUUGUAAGUCAGAUGUGAAAUCCCCGGGCUUAACCUGGGAAUU
This 423-nucleotide ribosomal RNA is filed under the name uncultured bacterium. Its description in RNAcentral is "bacterial SSU rRNA". It matches the Rfam family "Bacterial small subunit ribosomal RNA", at positions 207 to 622 of the family's 1533-position model. The record is from RNAcentral.